UACAGAGGGUGCGAGCGUUGUCCGGAAUCACUGGGCGUAAAGGGCGCGUAGGUGGCGACCCAAGUCGAUGGUGAAAGCUCGCCGCUCAACGGCGAGUCGGCCACCGAUACUGGGUUGCUCGAGCACUGUAGAGGCUAAUGGAAUUCCGGGUGUAGCGGUGGAAUGCGUAGAGAUCCGGAGGAAGACCGGUGGCGAAGGCGGUCUGCUGGGCAGUUUCUGACACUGAGGCGCGACAGCGUGGGGAGCAAACAGG
Molecule: ribosomal RNA, 253 nt
Filed under: uncultured bacterium
Lineage: Bacteria
Description: partial 16S ribosomal RNA
Rfam family: Bacterial small subunit ribosomal RNA
Source: RNAcentral